Molecule: ribosomal RNA, 519 nt
Filed under: uncultured Glomus
Lineage: Eukaryota; Fungi; Glomeromycota; Glomeromycetes; Glomerales; Glomeraceae
Description: SSU rRNA
Rfam family: Eukaryotic small subunit ribosomal RNA
Source: RNAcentral
AGCAGCCGCGGUAAUUCCAGCUCCAAUAGCGUAUAUUAAAGUUGUUGCAGUUAAAAAGCUCGUAGUUGAAUUUCGGGGUUAGCAGGUCGGUCGUGCCAUCGGUAUGAACUGGUCUCGCUGAUCCCUCCCUCUUGACGAACUGUGAUGCCAUUAAUUUGGUGUCGCAGGGAAUCAGGACCGUUACUUUGAAAAAAUUAGAGUGUUUAAAGCAGGCUCGCGCUUGAAUACAUUAGCAUGGAAUAAUGAAAUAGGACGUUUGAUUCUAUUUUGUUGGUUUCUAGGAUCGACGUAAUGAUUAAUAGGGAUAGUUGGGGGCAUUAGUAUUCAAUUGUCAGAGGUGAAAUUCUUGGAUUUAUUGAAGACUAACUACUGCGAAAGCAUUUGCCAAGGAUGUUUUCAUUAAUCAAGAACGAAAGUUAGGGGAUCGAAGACGAUCAGAUACCGUCGUAGUCGUUAACCAUAAACCUAUGCCGAUUAGGGAUCGGAUGAUGUUAAUUUUUAAUGUACUCCUUCGGUCCG